GGGGGGGGGGGGGGGGGGGGGGGGGGGGGGGGGGGGGGGGGGGGGGGCGGGGGGGGGGGUGGGCGGAGGUGGGCGGCGGACGGGGGGGUAGCGCGGGGGUGGGCUACCUAGAGGACCGGGAUAAGUUCGGGACGGCGGGGCGCAUCCCGGAUAAUAUAUUGACCGGGAUGGGUCAAUAGUGACCGAGCGGCUGGCUGUCACUUAUAGAUGGGUGCGCGCAGCAUUAGCUCGUUGUGAAGGUACCGGCUUACCAAGGCAACGAUGCGUAGCCGACCUGAGAGGGUGAUCGGCCACACUGGAACUGAGACACGGUCCAGACUCCUACGGGAGGCAGCAGUAGGGAAUCUUCCGCAAUGGGCGAAAGCCUGACGGAGCAACGCCGCGUGGGUGAUGAAGGGCUUCGGAUCGUAAAACUCUGUUAUUAGGGAAGAACAAAUGUGUAAGUAACUAUGCACGUCUUGACGGUACCUAAUCAGAAAGCCACGGCUAACUACGUG
RNAcentral lists this ribosomal RNA (497 nucleotides) under uncultured bacterium. RNAcentral's name for it is "partial 16S ribosomal RNA". The stretch from base 56 to 497 matches the Rfam family "Bacterial small subunit ribosomal RNA", at positions 39 to 507 of the family's 1533-position model. The record is from RNAcentral.